UCCUUGUUCACCCUGCAGCCUUGUGUCUGCUAUCCAGAUGGACUCAUUACAACGAUUCCUCCACAGCUGCCAGGUGUGUGCAGAUGACAGGAAGGGGCUGAUGGAGAAUUCCCAUAUGACCAAUCAAUACUGAGAUGACAGUAGCAGGAUGGCAUGUGUGUUGCUGUCAGAGCUGUUGUUGGUGCCAGGCUCUAUUGAUCAGUCCUAACAGUUAUCCCAGCCCUUUAAACUCAACCCAGGACUACUGCAGCACAGAAUUAAAUGAAAGAAAUCCCUCAGAGACAACAGAAUGGGAGAACUGCAGCAACAGCGUUGUACUGAAAAGCAGAGGAUGGAGACUAUAA
Long non-coding RNA from Cyprinus carpio (common carp), 344 nucleotides. The record is from Ensembl. NCBI's taxonomy places the organism in Eukaryota, Metazoa, Chordata, Actinopteri, Cypriniformes, Cyprinidae.